CCUCCAAGGCUAAAUACUACCUAGUGACCGAUAGCGUAUAGUACCUGGAGGGAAAGGUGGAAAGAACCCCGGGGGGGGAGUGAAAUAGAGCCUGAAGCCCCGCACUGACAGGCUGUGGAAGCCCAUUUCUUGUGUGACCGCGUACUUUUUGUAGAACGGGCGAACGAGUUACGUUAAGUAGCAAGGUUAAGCACUUAAGGUGCGGAGCCGUAGCGAAAGCGAGUUUUACCUGAGCGUUCAGUUACUUGACGGAGACCCGAAACCGGGCGACCUACCCAUGAGCAGGAUGAAGCGAAAGUAAAAUUUCGUGGAGGUCCGAACCCACGAGCGUUGAAAAGCUCGGGGAUGACUUGUGGGUAGCGGUGAAAUUCCAAUCGAGCCCGGAGAUAGCUGGUUCUCCCCGAAAUAGCUUUAGGGCUAGCCUCAAGGUGAGAGAUACGGA
This 442-nucleotide ribosomal RNA is filed under the name Clostridioides difficile. RNAcentral describes it as "bacterial LSU rRNA". It matches the Rfam family "Bacterial large subunit ribosomal RNA", at positions 457 to 900 of the family's 2925-position model. The record is from RNAcentral. Lineage: Bacteria; Bacillati; Bacillota; Clostridia; Peptostreptococcales; Peptostreptococcaceae.